This is a long non-coding RNA of Schistocerca nitens (vagrant locust), 1549 nucleotides long. RefSeq lists it as uncharacterized. The record is from RefSeq and is a predicted model, not a curated record. NCBI's taxonomy places the organism in Eukaryota, Metazoa, Arthropoda, Insecta, Orthoptera, Acrididae. The transcript has 7 exons.
ACCACCACAGGUAAUCUGGAAGCUGGUAACGGAAUAACUGUGUGUGUAGACGUUCCUGACUCGGUGACUCCAGUUAAAGGUCGCAGUUCCAGGUGAUAUUUCCAGAGAGGAUAGUAACUGGAGCGAACAAAUAUUUUCGUACUGCUACGGAAACGACGGUGAGCCAUCGGGGAGAGGGGAUGGCAAAUAACGGGAAUCUAUCGUCUCAUUUCUCUGCAAUUCUUGGUGUUCCGGAACAGGUGUCACUAUUUUUCCGGCCUUUGGUUGCGUUAGAGGGUAUUGACUUUCGUUCCGCGUUCUUGUUUUUAUUUGUGUUGUUGAUAUUACUACCAAUAGUUGCCAACAUGAAGAGGUCGAGGACAAGCGAAAUGUGGUCAUAUUUCGAAACUCUUGAUCGAGAGUUUGCGAAAUGUACUUUGUGCGGUAAGAAAUUAUCGUACAAAUCGACGACGACGAAUUUAAAAAAAACAUCUUCAGAAAUCACAUUUAAUUGUGAAUUUCUCUUCACAAAGACCUUCGGAGCUAGAUUUGGGUGAAACCCUUCCUGUAGAGGUGAUCCUUGGCACCAGUAGUGUGGAAGAGGAGCGAGAGGCACACCAACACCAGCAGAUGAGUCUCCGUUUAAUACUUGGGAUAUUAUAACAGUAAGUUAUAGCUCCAGAAGUCAGUCACCAGCAGCAGAUGUCACACAGUUAUAAAAUGGGAAGCUUGACGAAUAAGCUCCAGAAGUCAGCAGCAGCAGCAGCAGAUGUCACACAGCCAUAAUGCGAGAAGCUUGAAGAAUAAUGUGUUAUGGCUCCGAUAGUCUUCCAGCAGCAGCAAAUGUUACACAGUCCUAUAGAGGCAAACUUGAAGUAUAAAGUAAUAGUGUUUUGCAUACAAUGGCAAACUUGACCUUUCGCUUAAAAUGGAGUAUCGGCUUUGAAAUUUGGUCACUGGAUACAACUAUAUUAUCUUUCAUGUUGAUAGCAGCAAUCAUCAGAUUGCAAUCCAGUUAAGUACCUGUGAGGCAUGAGAUGUCAAAAACACUUGUGGGUUAUUGGUAGCCUGUGUCAAGGAAUGUGGCACCUCAAAGUUUAUAACUACUCAUAUAUGCAGCAACUGCUGAAGCAGCCUCUGGCAGUUUAUUGAAGUUCCGUGAACAAAGUGUUGUGUGGUCUGUUUGUGUAAAGUGAUAAAGAAAAAUGUUAAAGUGUAAUUGCAUAUGUAAUUGUGUAUAUAGGCUAUUUAAUCAUUAUUUUUGCUAGUUGUAAGAUCUAUUUUCAUGUAAAUCAGAACAUUGUAUAAUAGGUAACAACCGAAUGAGGCAGUGUAGCUAUUAACAGCACUGACCUCAUAUUCGGGAGGAUGGGGUUUGCUCUGUCUGGCCAUCCUGGAUCGCUAAGGCAAAUGCCGGGAUGGUUCCUUCAUCAAGGCCACGGCUGACCACCUGUCCCGCCCUUAAAGAGAUCCUUUAAACAUUGUGUGUAUACCCAUAUUUUGAAUUAUUGAUGUUUGUUGUAUUAUGUUGAGAUAUUCUUGGAUGAAAUAAAAAGUUUAUACAUUUGUA